CCCCAUUUCCCAUCCUCACCCUCACAGGAACAAAUCAUCAGAGUGCCCUCUUCCCAGACGCGGUAACCAGCUGAUUCGUCGCCCAACUCGUCCGUGGAGGUGAGUCUCUCUCGGAGCACGCUGCCCACCGCUUUAUGAUGAUAUUUUUUCUCCAUCUAUCGUGUGCCCCCGGAUCUUUCAUGUCCUCCUUCUUUCUUGAAAAUAAUCGUUCGUGCCUUCGUGUCCAAAGACGUGGUACAGCCGCCGCGUAGCUCAUCAUCAAGGCAUCGACUGACUUGUCUGUCUGCCCCAGGUAAUCCUCUCGCCCCUGCGAGCCCCACAAACUCGUCGAUUGUGCACCAUUCUUAUUACGUUUCCUCCCUUGUUUCUAGUUGUUCGCACCGGAUCUGAUGGAGCACCCGCAACCAGUAACCAUGCCCGGCCAUGGAGUCGAGACCGUCCUCGAUGACCUUCCCGAGUCG
This 461-nucleotide long non-coding RNA is filed under the name Triticum aestivum (bread wheat). RNAcentral's name for it is "long non-coding RNA (TAES_LNC016936)". Lineage: Eukaryota; Viridiplantae; Streptophyta; Magnoliopsida; Poales; Poaceae. The record is from RNAcentral.